AUUGAACGCUGGCGGCAUGCCUUACACAUGCCAGUCGAACGGUAACAGGUUAAGCUGACGAGUGGCGAACGGGUGAGUAAUGUAUCGGAACGUGCCCAGUCGUGGGGGAUAACUGCUCGAAAGAGCAGCUAAUACCGCAUACGACCUGAGGGUGAAAGCGGGGGAUCGCAAGACCUCGCGCGAUUGGAGCGGCCGAUAUCUGAUUAGGUAGUUGGUGAGGUAAAGGCUCACCAAGCCGACGAUCUGUAGCUGGUCUGAGAGGACGACCAGCCACACUGGGACUGAGACACGGCCCAGACUCCUACGGGAGGCAGCAGUGGGGAAUUUUGGACAAUGGGCGCAAGCCUGAUCCAGCCAUGCCGCGUGCGGGAAGAAGGCCUUCGGGUUGUAAACCGCUUUUGUCAGGGAAGAAAAGGUUCUGGCUAAUACCUGGGACUCAUGACGGUACCUGAAGAAUAAGCACCGGCUAACUACGUG
This 477-nucleotide ribosomal RNA is filed under the name uncultured bacterium. Its description in RNAcentral is "partial 16S ribosomal RNA". It matches the Rfam family "Bacterial small subunit ribosomal RNA", at positions 30 to 507 of the family's 1533-position model. The record is from RNAcentral.